AAGGGUGCGUAGGUGGCCUGAUAAGUCAGGGGUGAAAGACGGUAGCUUAACUAUCGCAGUGCCCUUGAUACUGCCGGGCUUGAAUGAACUAGAGGUAGGCGGAAGUGUGACAAGUAGCGGUGAAAUGCAUAGAUAUGUCACAGAACACCAAUUGCGAAGGCAGCUUACUAUGGUUAGAUUGACACUGAGGCACGAAAGCGUGGGGAUCAAACAGGAUUAGAUACCCCUGU
Molecule: ribosomal RNA, 230 nt
Filed under: uncultured bacterium
Lineage: Bacteria
Description: partial 16S ribosomal RNA
Rfam family: Bacterial small subunit ribosomal RNA
Source: RNAcentral